RNAcentral lists this ribosomal RNA (550 nucleotides) under uncultured bacterium. Its description in RNAcentral is "bacterial SSU rRNA". It matches the Rfam family "Bacterial small subunit ribosomal RNA", at positions 772 to 1319 of the family's 1533-position model. The record is from RNAcentral.
ACGGAAUAGAUACCCCGGUAGUCCACGCCCUAAACGAUGUCUACUAGUUGUUGGUGGAGUAAAAUCCAUGAGUAAACGCAGCUAAACGCGUGAAGUAGACCGCCUGGGGAGUACGGUCGCAAGAUUAAAACUCAAAUGAAUUGACGGGGGCCCGCACAAGCGGUGGAUUAUGUGGAUUAAAUUCGAUGCAACGCGAAAAACCUUACCUGGCCUUGACAUGUAACGAACUUUCCAGAGAUGGAUUGGUGCUCGAAAGAGAACGUUAACACAGGUGCUGCAUGGCUGUCGUCAGCUCGUGUCGUGAGAUGUUGGGUUAAGUCCCGCAACGAGCGCAACCCUUGCCAUUAAUUGCCAUCAUUUAGUUGGGCACUUUAAUGGGACUGCCGGUGACAAACCGGAGGAAGGUGGGGAUGACGUCAAGUCCUCAUGGCCCUUAUGGCCAGGGCUUCACACGUAAUACAAUGGUCGGUACAGAGGGUUGCCAACCCGCGAGGGGAGCCAAUCCCAGAAAGCCGAUCGUAGUCCGGAUUGUAGUCUGCAACUCGACUAC